RNAcentral lists this ribosomal RNA (493 nucleotides) under uncultured bacterium. Its description in RNAcentral is "bacterial SSU rRNA". It matches the Rfam family "Bacterial small subunit ribosomal RNA", at positions 38 to 507 of the family's 1533-position model. The record is from RNAcentral.
GGCGGCGUGUCUAACACAUGCAAGUCGUACGAGAAAGUUGGCUUCGGCCGAUGAGUAAAGUGGCGCACGGGUGAGUAAUGCGUGGAUAAUCUGCCCUUUAGUUGGGAAUAACGUACCGAAAGGUGCGCUAAUACCUGAUAAUACUGCAUAACUACUGUUGUGUAGUCAAAGAAGGCCUCUGUUUACAAGCUUUUGCUGAAGGAUGAGUCCGCGUACCAUUAGCUGGUUGGUGGGGUAAUGGCCUACCAAGGCUACGAUGGUUAGCUGGUCUGAGAGGAUGAUCAGCCACACUGGAACUGAGACACGGUCCAGACUCCUACGGGAGGCAGCAGUGAGGAAUAUUGCGCAAUGGGGGCAACCCUGACGCAGCAACGCCGCGUGAGUGAGGAAGGUUUUCGGACCGUAAAGCUCUGUCGAGCGGGAAGAAAUGUAUCAUGGCUAAUAUCCAUGAUACUUGACGGUACCGCUAAAGGAAGCACCGGCUAACUCCGUG